RNAcentral lists this microRNA (20 nucleotides) under Spodoptera frugiperda (fall armyworm). RNAcentral describes it as "sfr-miR-10503-3p". The record is from miRBase by way of RNAcentral. Lineage: Eukaryota; Metazoa; Arthropoda; Insecta; Lepidoptera; Noctuidae.
UUGAGUUGGGCGGUGCUGGU